CCCUGCCCCACCUUAACUGAUGACAUUCCACCACAAAAGAAGUGUAAAUGGCCGGUCCUUGCCUUAAGUGAUGACAUUACCUUGUGAAAGUCCUUUUCCUGGCUCAUCCUGGCUCAAAAAGCACUCCCACUGAGCACCUUGCGACCCCCACUCCUGCCUGCCAGAGAACAACCCCCCUUUGACUGUAAUUUUCCUUUACCUACCCAAAUCCUAUAAAACGGCCCCACCCCAUCUCCCUUCACUGACUCUCUUUUCGGACUCAGCCCUCCUGCACCCAGGUGAUUAAAAGCUUUAUUGCUCACACAAAGCCUGUUUGGUGGUCUCUUCACACAGACGCGCAUGAAAUUUGGUGCCGUGACUUGGAUCGGGGGACCUCCCUUGGGAGCUCAAUCCCCUGUCCUCCUGUUCUUUGCUCCGUGAGAAAGAUCCACCUACGACCUCAGGUCCUCAGACUGACCAGCCCAAGGAACAUCUCACCAAUUUUAAAUCAGGUAAGCAGCCUCUUCUUACUCUCUUCUCCAACCUCUCUCACUGUCCCUCAACCACUUUCUCCUUUCCACUCUUCAAUCUCUCCCUUCUCUUAAUUUCAAUUCCUUUCAUUUUCUGGGAGAGACAAAGGAGACACGUUUUAUCCGUGGACCCAAAACUCCGGCACUGGUCAUGGACUGGGAAGGCAGCCUUCCCUUGGUGUUUAAUCAAUGCAGGGACGCCUCUCUGAUUAUUCACCCACAUUUCAAAGGUGUCAGACCACGCAGGGACGCCUGCCUUGGUCCUUCACCCUUAGCGGCAAGUCCCACUUUUCUGGGAAAGGGGCAAGUACCCCAACCCCUUCUCUCCUUGUCUCUACCCCUUCUCUGCUUUUCUGGGGGAGGGGCAAGUACCCCUCAACCCCUUCUCCUUCACCCUUAGCAGCAAGUCCCGCUUUUCUGGUGGAGGGGCAAGUACCACAACCUCAUAUCUCUGCGCCCCAAUCCCUUAUUUACGUGCCCCAACCUCUUAUAUCUCUGCACCCCAACCCCUUAUUUCUGUGCCCCAACCCCUUAUUUCCAUGCCCCGACCCCUUAUUUCUGCACCCCAUCCCUUAUUUCCACGCCCUGACCUCUUAUCUCUUGCCCCAACCCCUUUUCCCACUUUUCUGGAAGGUAAGAACCCCCAAACCCCUUCCCUCUGUUUCUCUACUCUCUCUUUUCUCUAGGCUUGCUUCCUUCACUAUAGGCAAGCUUCCACCCUCCAUUCCUCCUUCUACUCUCUUGGCCUGUGUUCUCAAAAACUUAAAACCUCUUCAACUCACACCUGACCUAAAACCUAAAUGCCUUAUUUUCUUCUGCAAUGCCGCUUGACCCCAAUACAAACUCAACAGUAGUUCCAAAUAGCCAGAAAACGGCACUUUGAAUUUUUCCAUCCUGCAAGAUCUAAAUAAUUCUUGUCGUAAAAUAGGCAAACGGUCUGAGGUGCCUGACGUCCAGGCAUUCUUUUACACAUCAGUCCCUUCAUAGUCUCUGUGCCCAGUGCAACUCAUCCCAAAUCUUCCUUCUUUCCCUCCCGCCUGUCCCCUCAGUGCCAACACCAAGCCUAGCUGAGUCUUUCUAAUCUUCCUUUUCUACAGACCCAUCUGACCUCUCCCUUCCUCCCCAGGCUGCUCCUCGCCAGGCCGAGCUAGGUCCCAAUUCUUCCUCAGCCUCUGCUCCUCCACCCUAUAAUCCUUUUAUCACCUCCCCUCCUCACACCUGGUCCGGCUUACAGUUUCCUUCCGUGACUAGCCCUCCCCCUCCUGCCCAGCAAUUUACUCUUAAAAAGGUGGCUGGAGCUAAAGGUGUAGUCAAGGUUAAUGCUCCUUUUACUUUAUCCCAAAUCAGAUAGCGUUUAGGCUCUUUUUCAUCAAAUAUAAAAAUCCAGCCCAGUUCAUGACUUGUUUGGCAGCAACACUGAGACACUUUACAGCCCUAGACCCUAAAAGGUCAAAAGGCCGUCGUAUUCUCAAAAUACAUUUUAUUACCCAAUCUGCUCCCGACAUUAAAUAAAACUCCAAAAAUUAAAUUCCGGCCCUCAAACCCCACAACAGGAUUUAAUCAACCUCGCCUUCAAGGUGUACAAUAAUAGAAAAAAGUUGCAAUUCCUUGCCUCCACUGUGAGACAAACCCCAGCCACAUCUCCAGCACACAAGAACUUCCAAACGCCUGAACCGCAGCGGCCAGGCGUUCCUCCAGAACCUCCUCCCCCAGGAGCUUGCUACACAUGCCGGAAAUCUGGCCACUGGGCCAAGGAAUGCCCGAAGCCCGGGAUUCCUCCUAAGCCGCGUCCCAUCUGUGUGGGACCCCAUUGAAAAUCGGACCGUUCAACUCACCUGGCAGCCACUCCCAGAGCCCCUGGAACUCUGGCCCAAGGCUCUCUGACUCCUUCCCAGAUCUUCUCGGCUUUGCGGCUGAAGACUGACACCGCCUGAUCGCCUCGGAAGCCCCCUAGACCAUCACGGACGCUGAGCUUCAGGUUCCCACGCUGCCCCUAAUCCCGCUUGAAGCAGCCCUGAGAAACAUCGCCCAUUCUCUCUCCAUACCACCCCCCAAAAAUUUUCACCGCCCCAACACUUCAACACUAUUUUGUUUUAUUUUUCUUAUUAAUAUAAGAAGGCAGAAAGGUCAGGCCUCUGAGCCCAAGCCAAGCCAUCGCAUCCCCCUGUGAUUUGCACGUAUACGCCCAGAUGGCCUGAAGUAACUGAAGAAUCACAAAAGAAGUGAAUAUGCCCUGCCCCACCUUAACUGAUGACAUUCCACCACAAAAGAAGUGUAAAUGGCCGGUCCUUGCCUUAAGUGAUGACAUUACCUGUGAAAGUCCUUUUCCUGGCUCAUCCUGGCUCGAAAACACCCACACUGAGCACCUUGCGACCCCCACUCCUGCCCGCCAGAGAACAACCCCCCUUUGACUGUAAUUUUCCUUUACCUACCCAAAUCCUAUAAAACGGCCCCACCCCUAUCUCCCUUCACUGACUCUCUUUUUGGACUCAGCCCACCUGCACCCAGGUGAUUAAAAGCUUUAUUGCUCACACAAAGCCUGUUUGGUGGUCUCUUCACACGGACGUGCAUGAAACCUUAGUACCUUGAAUCAAAAGCCACUGGCCUUGUUCAAAUCCUAAGAAUCCCUUCUGAAUCUUUGUGCGCACAGUUACAGCUUCAACAAAAUGAGAAACUGACAUUUAAUCUGACAUUUAUUCAUUCAUUCAACAAAUAUUUGUUGAACACUUGCCAUUGUUACCAAUGGCAGGUAUCUGAGUUACCAGCGGUGAAUCCAAACUGUAACACUAUGAGCCAGGAAUUGUUUUAGGUAGUUGUUAUGCAUCUGUGAACAAACAAAAAGAUUCCUGCCCUCCUGGGGCAUAUUGAAAUAUAGAAAGUGAGUAUGAUAUGAAAAGACUUUAGAGAACUCUGAAAAUACCAUGAAUUAAUGCCAUGAAUUGAUGAGUUAGUAGAAUCCAACAUAACUGAAAUAUGAAAUCUAAAAACGAAUAUAUCUAAUAAUUUAUAGGUCUGACCCUAAAAAUCUAUUAAGAUAUUUUUGAGGUAGGAAUUUACUCUCUGUUACUGCCACUUAAGGAGCUGCCAAUAAUUCUCACAAAUAAUCAAAAGAAUCAAUCUUUCCUGUCCAUCUAAUUCUCCAGAGCUUAUUGAGAUUCUGCAAAGGAAAAAAAUAACUCUGGCUUCCCAUGGAAAUGCAAAUUCAUGGGACCCUCCCUGCCCUUUCCAUUAAUGGGCAGCCCAGGUGAUUCUUAAGUAGAUGACCCUGAGAAUCAAACUUUGAAAAUUCAAAUUGCUGCUUUUCCCUUAGCUAAUGACCUAUAUUAAAUUACAUUUACUACAGGGAAGGCAGAGUUGCCUUUUGCUCAGGUGUGUCAGCCAGCGGUUAGUUUUUUGUCUUGAAAUGCAAACGUUUUAUAGCACUUUUUUUCAAGUAUGUGUGGCACCCAUUCUCAAUCCCUGAUGCUAGGAAGGAGAUGGAUUUCUAUUCAAUUAGUUUUUAAAGGAUAUUCUGAAAGAAAUGGAGCCUUACUCUUGAAAGGAAGGAAGUAUGAAGGGGAUUGAUAGAGUUGUUCUCGAUUUUAUUUUGCAUCUACAAUUUAAUUACAACUGCCUUUAAGAAGUGACUUCUUAGUCUGAUAAAUGCAAUAACAACUUGAUGACUGAGAAAGUGACUCAAUAAAUUACUGAAAAUCUAUCACAUUACUUUGCAAACAGACAAAAUAGUCAAACAAAAAUCAAAUUAUUACUCUGAGAUUUUUUUCAUGGGUGUGUUUGAUAGUUAUACUUGUGUUUCUCUUAAUUUUAACUGAUGGUCUAUGCUAAAUUAGAAAAAAUUAAAUAUUAUAUAGACACUUCUUGAGUAAUAGGGGUUUUCAUUAGGCAGUUUGGUUUUAAAAUGUUCAAAUUUUUCUAAGAGUGCACUUGGUUAUACACCAAGCUUGUUCAACCUGUGGCCUGCAGGCUGUAUGUGACCCAGGACAGCUUAGAAUGUGGCUCAACACAAAUUCGUAAACUUUCUUAAAACAUUAUGAUUUUUUUUGUGUGAUUUUUUUUUUUUUUUUUUUUUUU
Gorilla gorilla gorilla (western lowland gorilla) is the source of this 4580-nucleotide long non-coding RNA. RefSeq lists it as uncharacterized. The record is from RefSeq and is a predicted model, not a curated record. The transcript has 2 exons. NCBI's taxonomy places the organism in Eukaryota, Metazoa, Chordata, Mammalia, Primates, Hominidae.